Molecule: ribosomal RNA, 492 nt
Filed under: uncultured bacterium
Lineage: Bacteria
Description: partial 16S ribosomal RNA
Rfam family: Bacterial small subunit ribosomal RNA
Source: RNAcentral
AGUGAACGCUGGCGGUAGGCCUAACACAUGCAAGUCGAACGGCAGCACAGUAAGAGCUUGCUCUUACGGGUGGCGAGUGGCGGACGGGUGAGGAAUACAUCGGAAUCUACUUUUUCGUGGGUGAUAACGUAGGGAAACUUACGCUAAUACCGCAUACGACCUACGGGUGAAAGCAUGGGAUCUUCGGACCUUGCGCGAUUGAAUGAGCCGAUGUCGGAUUAGCUAGUUGGCGGGGUAAAGGCCCACCAAGGCGACGAUCCGUAGCUGGUCUGAGAGGAUGAUCAGCCACACUGGAACUGAGACACGGUCCAGACUCCUACGGGAGGCAGCAGUGGGGAAUAUUGGACAAUGGGCGCAAGCCUGAUCCAGCCAUACCGCGUGGGUGAAGAAGGCCUUCGGGUUGUAAAGCACUUUUGUUGGGAAAGAAAAGCAGCAGGUUAAUACCUCGCUGUUCUGACGGUACCCAAAGAAUAAGCACCGGCUAACUUCGUG